GAGUCAGCUCACAAGUGGGAAUAUGGGCUGACAGUAGCUGAGCAGGGUGGUUCCCUGGCUUUCCCAAGAACAGAUCCUGAUCCUCUUAGGGUGACUUGGCUGAUAUAAUUCUUCACAGAAUUUGCUUUGGGGACCUAUGUCAGAGUGUUCUCUAGACAUGAAACAGUAAAGUCUCCAAGAUAUAGGCCUCUGACUCGGAGCUGUCACACCAUACAAGGCACCUUAUCCACUUAAGAAUAUGGGCACAUCCAUCAUCACUACCACUGUGGGGUCAGCAGGGGUUGUCUCCCAGAAGAGAACAGAAUAGAGGGGUCUCAUGGAGAUGAUUAAAGCCCACACAGGGUGACAGAAUCCUCUUUAUGAAGGAGAAAUGAGGUCUUGGGAGGAGCUCCUGUGCCACAUCUACUCUAUGAAAGAUGCAUCCAAGGACUGGAGAUGCUGUCCACUGAAGCAGUCCCUCCUCCUGAUUCCUGCCUGAGGCCAGCAAAAUUCCUUUUAUUCCUUCCGUUUUGGUUUACCUCCUCCUCUCCUACAUCCUGCUCCAUUUAACCCAUUUAUCUUCAGCUGGCUCUUGAUAACUAUGACUUGAGUUAGCUCUUGAUCGCAGGGCUCUAGAGAUGAUGGACAAUGAAGUACAACUACCUUCUGGUAUUUAUUUACCUACUCCUGAACCCUGACUUACACAGGGAAUUGUGAGGAAGCAGACAGGCCUCCAAGGCCAUCUUAUCUCACAAUCUGAGCCCUAGCAGAAUGAGCCACCCCUCACUCCAGACUGACUGGUUUUUUUUUUUUUUUUUUUUUUUUUUUAACCUUUAUUAAUGGUAUCUUGGGUUGUAAGAAGUUUUUUAUUUUGAUGUCAUCAAAAUGUGUUAUUCCUCUCCUUUAUGGCUUAUUAUUUUAAUGGCUUUUAAAGAAGGCUUCCCUAUCUAUAAAUAAUAAUCAUAUUUCUAUUU
RNAcentral lists this long non-coding RNA (953 nucleotides) under Marmota monax (woodchuck). The record is from RNAcentral. Lineage: Eukaryota; Metazoa; Chordata; Mammalia; Rodentia; Sciuridae.